GAGAGAUGGCCGACUUGAGUGAAGUUCUGUUUACUAUAGAAGACCAACUAGAGAGAGAUCAUUUGCCAGCAGAUGAUGUUUUCAGUUGUUUGGGUAAUAUCGGACGGCCACGUAUCGUCACAGAGGCUGUUGGAAGGAACAACCAUCUCGUUUUACCAGCCACAAACAGCAGAUCCCAGACCUGGACAAAAGCAUCCGCCAACUCCUGGAUAGUCUGUGGUGCAUGGAGCGAGACAUGAUGUCCCAGAUGUGUUCAAUUAGAUUCAGGUUUGGGGAACGUGCGGGCCAGUCCAUAUGAUUAGUGCUUCCAGCCACUUGAGGUCUGUUGGAAAAAUACUGUAUUCAAUCAUUGAAACAUAUUUUGCUGAAGCCUCGUUAGCUGUGCUAUAGCCUUGAAGUUUUCUCUCUUCUGCUCUGCAAGAAAUAGGGAGUACCGGUGUGUAGCAUCCUUAUCUGAUGAGCCCAAUGCUUGUGCAGGAAAUAUUUUCCACGUUCUGUGUGACUAUGCACCUCCCAGAAUGCAAUACAUAUUAUGAGCUGAAUCCUUGUCUUCUCUUCAGUGAGAGGAAGUUGCCUUUGCUGUAAACUGCUCACUCCUUGCAAGUAAAAUCCUGAAGAAGGUCUCAACUGAUUGUGUCUGCUUUAUUUAAGAUUUACAAAGGGAACUAACAAUUUCCCUAACAAGGUCUAUUAUUGUCUUGCUUUAGUAGGGACCCAAGGCCAAGCACAUGGGCAUAUGGUCUCACAAAGGGUCUGAGGUCUCAUCUGGGUAAUGGCAGCCAGGCUGCCUCUGGCCACACAGACAUUCAUGUUCCUCCAAAGAAAUUCCACCCCACACCAUUACUGACCCACUGCCAAACUGGUCAUGCUGGAGGAUGUUGCAAGCCACAAAACGUUCUCCACGGCGUCUCCAGACACUGUCACACCGGUUACACGUGCUUAGUGUGAACCUGCUUUGAUCUGUGAGGAUCACAAGGCACCAUUGGCCAAUUUGCCACUCUUUGUGUUCUCUGGCAAAUGCCAAGCGUCCUGCACUGUGUUGGGCUGUAAGCACAACCUCCACCUGUGGUCUUCGGGCAUUUCUAAGUAAGUGCCUGUGUGUACAUGGAAUACCUUUGCCUGUAUGCCAGAGCAAAGCAGACACAUACCCCCCCCCCCCCAUUAUGAAAUAUAUUGUACAACAAUGAGCAGAUUUUACAGCAAAAUGACAAGUUUUAUCAUAAUAAUAAGAUUAUUUUG
This 1239-nucleotide long non-coding RNA is filed under the name Betta splendens (Siamese fighting fish). RNAcentral's name for it is "lncRNA (ENSBSLG00000018026.1)". Lineage: Eukaryota; Metazoa; Chordata; Actinopteri; Anabantiformes; Osphronemidae. The record is from RNAcentral.